RNAcentral lists this transfer RNA (69 nucleotides) under Lysobacter sp. cf310. RNAcentral's name for it is "tRNA_Undet_???". It matches the Rfam family "tRNA". Rfam says of the family: Transfer RNA (tRNA) molecules are approximately 80 nucleotides in length. Their secondary structure includes four short double-helical elements and three loops (D, anti-codon, and T loops). The record is from RNAcentral. Lineage: Bacteria; Pseudomonadati; Pseudomonadota; Gammaproteobacteria; Lysobacterales; Lysobacteraceae.
GCGACGUUAGCUCAGAGGCAAGAGCGGCGGAUAUUCCGCAGGUCGCCGGUUCGAGUCCGGCACGUUGAU